Molecule: unclassified non-coding RNA, 743 nt
Filed under: Hevea brasiliensis (rubber tree)
Lineage: Eukaryota; Viridiplantae; Streptophyta; Magnoliopsida; Malpighiales; Euphorbiaceae
Source: RNAcentral
ACUAACUACACAACAACAGCAACAGCAAAUUAACGAAGAGCCUAGGCAUUUACAUUGACAGUAGUUAAUGAUAUAUUUUCCCCUAAGAAGACGAGAGAUAACUAGAAAACAAGUUAAUCUAAAGGCUCCAUGGACCUGGAAACCCAUCCCAAUUAAACCCCUCUUCACCCAUUGUAGCAAUUCCAACAUCACUACUUCCCAAGAACUCAGUUUCAAUACCAAACUCUGGCCAAUACAUAAUAUCCAUUCCCUCAAUUACACCUAUACCUGAACCUGAACCUGAACUCUCACUACUAAUUGCACCACGCCUGGAAUCUUGUUGUGAUGAGAAACUUGUAGCACUUGCCAAUUCACUGCUGCAGCAGGUACCAAUAGUAUCAUUGCCAAGUUCUUGACAUUUUGUGGAUGAAGUGUUGGCAGGAGGAGUAGUUGCUGAUGAUAUCUGGUAGUAGUUUGGCAAGUUAAGGGUAGCAGAAGAGCCAUAGAGCUAAAGGGCAGCCUGAUCAUAGGCUUUAGCAGCUUCAUGGGAAGUGUUGAAAUUGCCUAACCAAAUUCUGUUGCCUCUAUUUGGUUCUCCGAUUUCAGCCACCCAUUUCCCCCAAGUCCUUUGCCUCGCUCCUCUGUAGGUGCAUAGUGCAUUCUCUGGGCCUCCUUUGCCCUUCAUGCACCCUUUUCUUGAUCUUCUCAUUGAGGGUUUCUUGUCCUUUGCUUCUCUUUCCAUGGUAAUUGUGAUAUUAUCUCCG